Molecule: ribosomal RNA, 225 nt
Filed under: uncultured bacterium
Lineage: Bacteria
Description: partial 16S ribosomal RNA
Rfam family: Bacterial small subunit ribosomal RNA
Source: RNAcentral
UGAGUAACACGUAUCCAACCUGCCGUCUACUCUUGACAGCCUUCUGAAGGAAGAUUAAUACAAGAUGGCAUCAUGAGUCCGCAUGUUCACAUGAUUAAAGGUAUUCCGGUAGACGAUGGGGAUGCGUUCCAUUAGAUAGUAGGCGGGGUAACGGCCCACCUAGUCUUCGAUGGAUAGGGGUUCUGAGAGGAAGGUCCCCCACAUUGGAACUGAGACACGGUCCAA